GAUGAACGCUGGCGGCGUGCCUAACACAUGCAAGUCGAGCGAACGGACGAGAAGCUCUCUUCUCUGAUGUUAGCGGCGGACGGGUGAGUAACACGUGGAUAACCUACUUAUAAGACUGGGAUAACUUCGGGAAACCGGAGCCAAUACCGGAUAAUAUUUUGAACCGCAUGGUUCAAAAGUGAAAGACGGUUUUGCUGACACUUAUAGAUGGUUCCGCGCUGCAUUAGCUAGUUGGUAAGGUAACGGCUUACCAAGGCAACGAUGCAUAGCCGACCUGAGAGGAUGAUCAGCCACACUGGAACUGAGACACGGUCCAGACUCCUACGGGAGGCAGCAGUGGGGAAUCUUGGACAAUGGGCGAAAGCCUGACGGAGCAACGCCGCGUGAGUGAUGAAGGUCUUCGGAUCGUAAAGCUCUGUUAUUAGGGAAGAACAGAUGUAUGAGAAACUGUGCCCGUCUUGACGGUACCUAAUCAGAAAGCCACGGCUAACUUCGUG
RNAcentral lists this ribosomal RNA (497 nucleotides) under uncultured bacterium. RNAcentral's name for it is "partial 16S ribosomal RNA". It matches the Rfam family "Bacterial small subunit ribosomal RNA", at positions 28 to 507 of the family's 1533-position model. The record is from RNAcentral.